Long non-coding RNA from Scomber scombrus (Atlantic mackerel), 205 nucleotides. RefSeq lists it as uncharacterized. The transcript has 3 exons. NCBI's taxonomy places the organism in Eukaryota, Metazoa, Chordata, Actinopteri, Scombriformes, Scombridae. The record is from RefSeq and is a predicted model, not a curated record.
UGGACCUGAGACACAACCGUGUGAGCUUCAGCUGCUACUUCUCUGGUGCAAAUGGUCUCCGAAUAAGUGAAGCUGCCUCUUCAAUCAAGUCCCACAAAGGUCUUCAAAGAGGUGAAGUCAUUCCUAGCCUGGACUGGAAUCAGGUUUGUUUGAUGAAACACUUCUUGAUGCCGGUAUAGUGUUGAAAGCUGAUCUCCUGUUAUCU